AAGUAAGAGAUGGGAUGGGAAAGAAAGAGAAGGGAAGAACAACAGAGACAAAAGCUCUGGAGCAAACCUCCAAGGCUGCACUGGUCCUGGGCCACCUCAGCCCCCAUCUCCAUCCCACCCACUGGCCCACAUCCUCCACCUGUGAGUGGUGCAUUGCGGCUUAGCUGUUCCAGACCCCCUGGCUGGGCUGGGCUCCAAGCUCUGCUGCUUUGUCAGGGUAUCAUUAUCCCCAUUCUGCAGCUCUUGUCACCUGGAGGCUCUUUCUUCUUCUCUGGCCCACACACCAACACACAGGUGCCUCCUGCCUGGCUUUCAGCUCCUCCUACCUGCCACCUUCUUUCAGGGCCCUUUCCAUUGCCACAUAGUCAGUGGCUCUGCCCCUAAGGGUGCCAUCCCAGCCCAGGACCAUUUUCCCUCCUCUUCUCUUCCUCACUGAGUUCUCCACCCUUUGUCUAGAGAGAGCCAAAGCCUCUGCUCUAAAGGGUUUCUUUUUUCUCCCUGGGAGGAAAAAGGUGAAAAAGGUAUCCAGGGUGCUGGGCAGAUCCAGAUAACUGAUCACUCCAUGAGAACCAAGCACUCACCUGUGUCUGGUCUGCAAUGCAUCCACAUUCUUCUCCACAGCUCAGAGUGGAAGCUCCUUUUCUAGUUAUCCCACACUCAGGGCUUCUGAAACUCACCACUUUCCCUGAGUCCCUUGUCAAUACCUAGUUUUGCAAAUUCCACCUGGGUUUCAGGAGAUCGCAAAAGCUUUGAGAUCUGCCUGCAACUCGCUGUGAAAACCUUGGACAAAUCCCUUCCCUGCGGACUCCUGGGUUGUACUACAGUGAAGAGGUUGAAUUAGAUCAAAGAGGUAAAUCCUAGCACACAUGCCACCAUUUCUCAUCCAAUGCCCAUGGCAGACAUUGCUAAUCAACUACGGCACUCUCUUUUCAGGAUGCAUUCCAGGAAGCUGCUAGUCAUCAUUCAACAUUAGCUCAUGACAUGAAACAUCUUUGCCACUCCUGGACUAGCUGAUCUCUGAAGGCCCUUCUCUCAUUGACAGCAAGGAUUGUGUGGCCUGGUUGAAUCAAUAUUACUUCUCCCUAGUUCCCACUUUUCCCUCCAGCUCAUUCUUUUGAUCAUCCCCAUCCCUCCCUCUCUCUCAUCUUGCCUUGUUUCCAAGUCUCUGCCGCUGAGUCCAUGUAAACCCUAGAUGAUGUCUGGGUCUCCAAGGUUCUGUUUACUGUCACUCAACUUCAGGCUCUUUGAAGGUUACAUUUUCCAGGCAGUCACACUUACACAUGUUGGGCGGUUCCGUGGCAUUGGCUCAGGGGAGGGAGGCAGUGAUCGAGACAUCAGAGACAGUCAGAGGAGGAGCAGGAGGAAUAAGACCAAAGAAAUAUUAAGAAAGAGAUAACAGGAUAGACAGACAGUGGGGCUAGAGUUAAAUUUAUGUAUCAAGGCCAUCCUGGUAAGAACAGGGAGCAGGAGUUUUAAUGGAAUUUAUCCUGGACCCCCAAGGUCACAGUGGGAGGGAGGAUCAGGGAGGACCUAAAAGCAAAGGACAAAGGGAGCAUAUAAAUUAGUAGCUCAACUGACAAACGUGAAAGAGGUGAAGGGAUUCUUUGGUGGGGGAAACUAUCAGGAGUUGCCAUAAUAAGAUGGACUUAACCAUGCUUCACGAGUGUAAAAGCAUCCACCCCUUGGCCCCUGCAGGUCAGAUACUAAAUUCUGUUUCAUCCAGGAUCUGUAAUGGCAGAUUCUGGAGGGGCCCUAACCUGCCCCGCCUGCCCAAGAGGACUAGGAACCCCAGAACCCACUGGGAAAAUAGCGGGCUGAGACCUGUCCUGAAACUGGGAGGGGGGUUGGGGGCAGCUAUAGAACAGGUGGAAGAUUAAGCUGGACAGAUGGGCUGACUGAUGAAGCCCACAUCUCCCCAAUAUUACUCCAGGGGAUGGGGUUGGAGGGGAAGGGGUUUGGCCCAGCAGGAUGGAAACUCCCCUCCAUUUUUUUCUUUUUUCUUGAGACCGAGAUUCAAUCUUGUUGCCCAGACAGGAGUGCAAUGGUGUGAUCUCGGCUCACCGCAACUUCCGCCUCCCAGGUUCAAGCGAUUCUCCUGCCUCAGCCUCCCGAGUAGCUGGGAUUACUGGCAUGCGCCACCAUGCUCGGCUAAUUUUUUUGUUUGUUUGUUUGUUUGUUUUGAGACGGAGUCUCGCUCUGUCACCCAGGCUGGAGUGCAGUGGCGCAAUCUCGG
RNAcentral lists this long non-coding RNA (2233 nucleotides) under Homo sapiens (human). RNAcentral's name for it is "HSALNT0095476". Lineage: Eukaryota; Metazoa; Chordata; Mammalia; Primates; Hominidae. The record is from RNAcentral.